GUUCUACAUCUGCCAUGCUGAAGAUGGCAGUGGCACGCCUGAGCGCUUAAAAGUUAAUCUUGAUUGUGAGCCUCAAUGCCUACACCUAAGGCCUCACAAGGGCACCUUUCAAAGUUAACUCUGUCCUUCUCUUUCAGCCUUUCCCGACAAGCUUUGCCCGACAAGCCCGCCAGUAAAGCAGAAGCCCGACAUAAAGCAUCAACCGGCGCUAACCUCUCGGGGAGUUGUGUGUUUGUCGGACAGGAAGCAUUCCCCACGGAAAUUCCCGCCACGAACAGGAUGCAUGACCUUUUUUCCAUAAAAAUGGAACUAAAAUACAAGAUUUAAAAUUUAACGGUUAAAUAUCCGGAGUAUCAAGCUCCCAAAGCAUUAUAAAAAAUUUCUAGAACUAAUGAUGCAAGAGCAACCUUUAAGUACUGUAGGCAAUAUUGUGUUAGGAAGAUUUAAAAUUUAAUUAACAAUUGCAUAUGCAUACUCAUGAAAAUAGUUCAUGCAGUAAUUAUUAAGACCAUGCCAGCUUCUUUGUAAGUAUCAUUUAACCUAAACACCUUCAGCACGGCCUCUGCAAAAUGUGAAAUUAGUUGGAACAAGGUUUUGUAGGUGAACAUGUUGAAGUAUCAUUGAUGAACUUGUCUAGUAGAACAACCCGAGAAACAGUUUCAAGGUUGGGACUUAGGGGGCCUCCAAGCUUGUCGUCCUUGUAUGUGAAGCCAAUGGUUUGGGAGUGCAACGAGACUACCCCUAAAGCCAAUGGUUUGGGACUGCAAUGUCAAAGAAUUAGCUGCUACAGGAACAUCUAGAGAAAAUACACUUCUUUCCAAAUUUCGAAAUAAUUCUUUCCUAAACAAGAAUGUAGCUCCCUCCUUGGAAUAAUCCAAAUUUUGUGGGCAUUGAUGCAUGAAAUCAUACAGAACCUUACCUUUAAGGUUGCUUUUUGUUCUCUUGCAGCAUCAAUUCUGCAAAUCUUCAUCAUAAGAAUUAAGAAUCCCAUUUUCUUUUAGAAAUUAUUUAAAUUAAGGCAGCAACCGCACUAUAUAGCUGCUGAUGACUUAACAGAAUGUCUCUGCUCUAGAGGAAAGUUUCUCG
This 1086-nucleotide long non-coding RNA is filed under the name Malus domestica (apple). Its description in RNAcentral is "long non-coding RNA (MDOM_LNC008223)". Lineage: Eukaryota; Viridiplantae; Streptophyta; Magnoliopsida; Rosales; Rosaceae. The record is from RNAcentral.